AUACAGCCAUAUCAUCUUGAAUCUGCCAGUUCCUAUAUGAUCACCAAAGUUAAGCAAUGUCGAGUUUGGUCAGUAUGUAGAUUGGUGACAGCGUGGGAAUACCAGAUGUU
Acanthosepion pharaonis is the source of this 110-nucleotide non-coding RNA. The record is from the annotation of a GenBank genome assembly. NCBI's taxonomy places the organism in Eukaryota, Metazoa, Mollusca, Cephalopoda, Sepiida, Sepiidae.